Molecule: long non-coding RNA, 746 nt
Organism: Chelonia mydas (Green sea turtle)
Lineage: Eukaryota; Metazoa; Chordata; Testudines; Cheloniidae
Exons: 3
Source: RefSeq, a predicted model, not a curated record
AUAUGCUGGAUCUCACACACACUACCGCACCUAUUGUUUGUAUCCCUUUGUGCAGAGUUGCAGCCUGUGUCCCUGGCAGAUUUCUAGCCCACCCGCAAAACAGCCUGUACCGUACUGCACCAGGGAGUCUCAGAAACAACACUUUAUCCUCCGCAGAGCCCUUAAUCGCGAGGCGAUGGCUUAGCACAGGGCACCGUUCCUCUCCACAAGGCCCUUGGGGGCAAGAGGGAUGCCACCGACAUGGGUUUCUUGGGUGAAGAAUUAUCCUAACAUCUUCCUUGCCAACUGUACCACUCAAUUGGAAUUAAUUUAGAGGGACAUCAUUUAAUGCCUUUGUAAUUGAGGAUAUAAGAGGCAAAGACUGAAGGCUUUUGAAUGUAGGUGGUAGCAAGGCAGGUUCAAGAAGAGAGAGGCAGUGUGCUGCAACACGUUUACUUUCAAAGCAAAUGGAAGGAAUGGCUUGUCUCUUCUCUAAAUACUGUAACAAACAGAAUUUGUCACUGCUACAGCUGAAGGUAAGAUCAUUUUGAAAAAAAACUGGACUAGAACGUACAAAAUUCUAACCAAACUGCCUAGUAAAGUCUUUUUGGAUGUUGUCACGCAUUACUCACACACUCCUGCCAAAAGAACUGUUAGAACAAAAUAAGCAUGCUUUUAUUUCUACCACCAAUUGUAUUAGCAUUACUGUCAACUUAAAACAUUUACCUGUGUUAUUAAUACCAUCUUAGAUUAUUAGAAGUUUUUUG